Molecule: ribosomal RNA, 742 nt
Filed under: uncultured bacterium
Lineage: Bacteria
Description: bacterial SSU rRNA
Rfam family: Bacterial small subunit ribosomal RNA
Source: RNAcentral
AGAGUUUGAUCCUGGCUCAGAGCGAACGCUGGCGGCAGGCCUAACACAUGCAAGUCGAACGGAUCCUUCGGGAUUAGUGGCGGACGGGUGAGUAACACGUGGGAACGUGCCCUUUGGUUCGGAACAACUCAGGGAAACUUGAGCUAAUACCGGAUGUGCCCUACGGGGGAAAGAUUUAUCGCCAUUGGAGCGGCCCGCGUCUGAUUAGCUAGUUGGUGAGGUAAAGGCUCACCAAGGCAACGAUCAGUAGCUGGUCUGAGAGGAUGAUCAGCCACACUGGGACUGAGACACGGCCCAGACUCCUACGGGAGGCAGCAGUGGGGAAUCUUGCGCAAUGGGCGAAAGCCUGACGCAGCCAUGCCGCGUGAAUGAUGAAGGUCUUAGGAUUGUAAAAUUCUUUCAGCAGGGACGAUAAUGACGGUACCUGCAGAAGAAGCCCCGGCUAACUUCGUGCCAGCAGCCGCGGUAAUACGAAGGGGGCUAGCGUUGCUCGGAAUUACUGGGCGUAAAGGGCGCGUAGGCGGGUCGUUUAGUUAGAGGUGAAAGCCCAGGGCUCAACCCUGGAAUUGCCUUUAAUACUGGCGGCCUUGAGUAUGGCAGAGGUGUGUGGAACUCCGAGUGUAGAGGUGAAAUUCGUAGAUAUUCGGAAGAACACCAGUGGCGAAGGCGACACACUGGGCCAUUACUGACGCUGAGGCGCGAAAGCGUGGGGAGCAAACAGGAUUAGAUACCCCCGUAGUCC